UACGUAGGGUGCAAGCGUUAAUCGGAAUUACUGGGCGUAAAGCGUGCGCAGGCGGUUCUAUAAGACAGAUGUGAAAUCCCCGGGCUCAACCUGGGAACUGCAUUUGUGACUGUAGAGCUGGAGUGCGGCAGAGGGGGAUGGAAUUCCACGUGUAGCGGUGAAAUGCGUAGAGAUGUGGAGGAACACCGAUGGCGAAGGCAGCCUUCUGGGCCAACACUGACGCUCAUGCACGAAAGCGUGGGGAGCAAACAGG
RNAcentral lists this ribosomal RNA (253 nucleotides) under uncultured bacterium. RNAcentral describes it as "partial 16S ribosomal RNA". It matches the Rfam family "Bacterial small subunit ribosomal RNA", at positions 524 to 776 of the family's 1533-position model. The record is from RNAcentral.